This 562-nucleotide ribosomal RNA is filed under the name Streptomyces sp. 410G03. Its description in RNAcentral is "bacterial SSU rRNA". It matches the Rfam family "Bacterial small subunit ribosomal RNA", at positions 93 to 670 of the family's 1533-position model. Lineage: Bacteria; Bacillati; Actinomycetota; Actinomycetes; Kitasatosporales; Streptomycetaceae. The record is from RNAcentral.
UAGUGGCGAACGGGUGAGUAACACGUGGGCAAUCUGCCCUGCACUCUGGGACAAGCCCUGGAAACGGGGUCUAAUACCGGAUACGAGCCUCCUCCGCAUGGUGGAGGUUGGAAAGCUCCGGCGGUGCAGGAUGAGCCCGCGGCCUAUCAGCUUGUUGGUGAGGUAACGGCUCACCAAGGCGACGACGGGUAGCCGGCCUGAGAGGGCGACCGGCCACACUGGGACUGAGACACGGCCCAGACUCCUACGGGAGGCAGCAGUGGGGAAUAUUGCACAAUGGGCGAAAGCCUGAUGCAGCGACGCCGCGUGAGGGAUGAAGGCCUUCGGGUUGUAAACCUCUUUCAGCAGGGAAGAAGCGAAAGUGACGGUACCUGCAGAAGAAGCGCCGGCUAACUACGUGCCAGCAGCCGCGGUAAUACGUAGGGCGCAAGCGUUGUCCGGAAUUAUUGGGCGUAAAGAGCUCGUAGGCGGCUUGUCGCGUCGGUUGUGAAAGCCCGGGGCUUAACCCNGGUCUGCAGUCGAUACGGGCAGGCUAGAGUUCGGUAGGGGAGAUCGGAUUCCU